RNAcentral lists this long non-coding RNA (1436 nucleotides) under Betta splendens (Siamese fighting fish). RNAcentral's name for it is "lncRNA (ENSBSLG00000006057.1)". The record is from RNAcentral. Lineage: Eukaryota; Metazoa; Chordata; Actinopteri; Anabantiformes; Osphronemidae.
UCCUGUCCCAGUUCAGUCCAGUCACGCUCCUGUCCCAGUUCAGUCCAGUCACGCUCCUGUCCCAGUUCAGUCCAGUCACGCUCCUGUCCCAGUCCAGUCCAGUCACGCUCCUGUUCCAGUCCAGUCCAGUCACGCGCAGGUCUUGUCCCAGUCAGAGGACACCACCUGUCGAACGGGUGCUAUGCACACCCGAUCAGGCCCGACGUCUGCUCCGUCGAGCUUGGCGGUUGCAAGCAGCCAAGCCGGCUCCGGAGUAGACGCCGUCCCAGUCGCUGCCGGCUCUAGUGAGGAGCCUGAGGGCAGCGCCGCCGGCUCUAGUGAGGAGCCUGAGGGCAGCGCCGCCGGCUCUAGUGAGGAGCCUGAGGGCAGCGCCGCCGGCUCUAGUGAGGAGCCUGAGGGCAGCGCCGCCGGCUCUAGUGAGGAGCCUGAGGGCAGCGCCGCCGGCUCUAGUGAGGAGCCUGAGGGCAGCGCCGCCGGCUCUAGUGGGGAGCCUGAGGGCAGCGCCGCCGGCUCUAGUGGGGAGCCUGAGGGCAGCGCCGCCGGCUCUAGUGGGGAGCCUGAGGGCAGCGCCGCCGGCUCUAGUGGGGAGCCUGAGAGCAGCGCCGCCGGCUCUAGUAAGGACGCCGCUCCUGUCCUUGUCGGCCAUGUUGAGGCCGUUCCUGUUCCUGUCGGCCAUGUUGAGGCCGUUCCUGUUCCUGUCGGCCAUGUUGAGGCCGUUCCUGUUCCUGUCGGCCAUGUAGAGGCCGUUCCUGUUCCUGUCGGCCAUGUAGAGGUCGUUCCUGUUCCUGUCGGCCAUGUAGAGGCCGUUCCUGUUCCUGUCGGCCAUGUAGAGGUCGUUCCAGUCCCUGUCGGCCAUGUAGAGGUCGUUCCAGUUCCUGUCCCAGUCCCUGUCGGCCAUGUUGCGGCCGUUCCAGUUCCUGUCCCUGUUCUUGUCGGCCAUGUUGCGGCCGUUCCAGUCCCUGUCCCUGUUCCUGUCGGCCAUGUUGCGGCCGUUCUAGUUCCUGUCCCUGUUCCUGUCGGCCAUGUUGCGGCCGUUCCAGUCCCUGUUCCUGUCGGCCAUGUUGCGGCCGUUCCAGUCCCUGUUUCUGUCGGCCAUGUUGCUGCCAUUCCUGUCAAUCUCGGAGUGGCAGUCCCGGCGGACCUCCAGGAGGAGGUCGCGCCAGCCGUAGUCCCGGCGGACCUCCAGGAGGGGGUCGCGCCAGCCGCAGUCCCGGCGGACCUCCAGGAGGGGGUCGCGCCAGCCGCAGUCCCGGCGGACCUCUAGGAGGGGGUCGAGCCAGCCGCAGUCCCGGCGAACCUCCAGGAGGGGGUCGCGCCAGCCGCAGUCCCGGCGGACCUCCAGGAGGGGGUCGCGCCCGCCGCAGUCUCGGCGGACCUCCAGGAGGGGGUCGCGCCCGCCGCAGUCCCGGCGGACCUCCAGGAGGGGGUCGCGCCCG